GUAAUUAUUAUAGUUUUCAGACGCUGAUUUAAAAUUAAAAGGGUUAUAGUUUGUCAUUGGCAGGCAAGCCUACCAAGGAAACUUGGGUACGCAAAAGACAAGGAAGGAGAGAAGGGACCGAAAUCCCCCUCAUAACAGUGGAAAUCCACCGAAAUUAAUGAUCCUUCCGCAGGUUCACCUACGGAAA
This 187-nucleotide unclassified non-coding RNA is filed under the name uncultured fungus. RNAcentral's name for it is "sequence contains ITS1". The record is from RNAcentral. Lineage: Eukaryota; Fungi.